AGCAGCAGCCUUUUUAGCAGCAGCAGCAGCCUUCUUUGCAGCAGCAACAGCAGCAGCCCUCUUAGCGGCAGCAGCGUUCUUAGCAGCAGAAGCCUUCUUAGCAGCAGCAGCCUUCUUAGCAGCAGCAGCUUUUCUGGCAGCAGCAGCCUUCUUAGCAGCAGCAGCC
This is a long non-coding RNA of Bolinopsis microptera, 166 nucleotides long. RefSeq lists it as uncharacterized. The record is from RefSeq and is a predicted model, not a curated record. The transcript has 2 exons. Lineage: Eukaryota; Metazoa; Ctenophora; Tentaculata; Lobata; Bolinopsidae.